RNAcentral lists this long non-coding RNA (558 nucleotides) under Zonotrichia albicollis (white-throated sparrow). Its description in RNAcentral is "lncRNA (ENSZALG00000001846.1)". The record is from RNAcentral. Lineage: Eukaryota; Metazoa; Chordata; Aves; Passeriformes; Passerellidae.
GAGACACGGACAGGUGUGACAUGGACAGGUGAGACAUGGACAGGUGAGACAUACAUGGACACAUGGACACCUCAUCACCACCUGGAUCAUGUCCAGGAUCAGGAUCUGACACAGGUGAGACAGGGACAGGUGAGACACGGAGGGAUGGGACACAGGUGAGACGCGGACAGGUGAGACACGGACCCUCCAGGAGAGCCAUGGACCUCCUGGUACCACCUCAAUCGUGUCCAGGAUCAGGAUCUGACAGGUGAGCCAGGUGAGACAUGGACAGGUGAAACAUGGACACCUCAGCACCACCUGGAUCAUGUCCAGGAUCAGGAUCUGAGAUAGGUGAGACAUGGACAGGUGAGACAUGGAGACCCCAUGUCACCACCUCGAUCACGUCCAGGAUCAGGAUCUGAGAUAGGUGAGACACGGACAGGUGAGACAGGUGAGACAUGGAGACCUCAUCACCACCUCAAUCACAUCCAGGAUCAGGAUCUGACAGGUGAGACACCGACAGGUGAGACAGGGACAGGUGAGACAUGGACAGGUGAGACAUGGACAGGUGAGACAUGG